This 145-nucleotide small nuclear RNA is filed under the name Stegodyphus mimosarum. RNAcentral's name for it is "U4 spliceosomal RNA". It matches the Rfam family "U4 spliceosomal RNA". Rfam says of the family: U4 small nuclear RNA (U4 snRNA) is a component of the major U2-dependent spliceosome. Lineage: Eukaryota; Metazoa; Arthropoda; Arachnida; Araneae; Eresidae. The record is from Rfam by way of RNAcentral.
AGCUUUGCGCAGAGGCAGUGUCAUAGCCAAUGAGGUAGUACCAAGGCGUGGCUAUUGCUAGUUGAAAUCCAAUUGCCAAAUUUUGGUUGUGACCCUUUUUUUAGUUUGUGUGCCAUAGUAUAAUCCUUUAGAAUUUUUCGUAAGA